Molecule: non-coding RNA, 2226 nt
Organism: Phalacrocorax carbo (great cormorant)
Lineage: Eukaryota; Metazoa; Chordata; Aves; Suliformes; Phalacrocoracidae
Source: RefSeq, a predicted model, not a curated record
GCGGUGGCGAGGUGGGCCGCCCUCCUGCGCUGCCCCGGCCGCGGCCUCCCGCCGCCCCGGCAGCCGCAGCCUCGCCGCCCGCGGGGCGGGGGGGAACAGGGAGUCCCCGGACGGGGGGAGCGGCGUCCUCUCCGCAGUGCCUCCCAUCGCCCCCCCGGAGGUAUAGAUUGCUACCUAAAAAUAUAUAUAUGUAUGUACACACGCACACAUAUUUGUAAACCCAGUUGUUAAAUGCAGCUAGUAAAUAACAACCCUUUUAAAAAAAAAAAAAACCACCCCACACAAGCCAUAAUGAUGAUGAUGACGGGAGGGGGGGAAAUAAAUAAAUAAAAGCGAGCGAGAGUCGGCGAGGGAGAGGGAGGCAGGUUCAAUUAUCUAAACAAAGAAAUCAUGGCGGAGUGUUUACAUUUGGCAGCCCAAAGACUGUUGGAUUACGGAACCCCCCCCAAACCCCAGCGGCCCCCCCCGGCCCCCCGCAGUAACGGCUCGCCGGAGCCCGCCCGCCGACACCUCGCCGCGGCCCGGAGUCUGAACCAGCUGCUUUGAAGAGAUCUUCUGAAUGAAUGACUAGGCUGUGAAUUUCUAAGGGCUUCGUCCCACUCGAAGACACACAGAUGUACAUCGCCUCCCUCUGCAAGCAGCCCUCUUACCUGAGCGCACACACUCACACCUCCUCCACAAGUUGACUCAUUCCAUUCUAAGAGGCGCUGCAGACCUUAUAGCCCAACAUCCAGAAAAUUCCUUGAUUAGUGUCGUAAGAGUUCCUUCAAGUACUUCUGUUCUUCAUGGCAAGUAUAUUUUUGACUGAGAAAUUACCAAAAAUGUGCACCUCUUCUCUUUUUUCCCGCUCAGGUCUAAGGGUUUGACCACUUUCCUUUGCAGUUUGUCUGGUUUUGCACUGCUCAGCUCUCUGCCUGUUGUUUCAGGCUGCUACUCAAAUUACACAUAUUCUAGUUAUUAUUUCAAUCAUUUAGUAUGAAUUUUACAGUGUUGUUGUUUUUAUGCUUCCUUACGCUGCCACAUGUGUUAACUAUACAGAAACUGUUCUUCUUGUGGAAGAAAUUAUAUAACAAAACUACCCAGUAAAAAGCAUGUUUUAUGGCACUUAUAAAAUUAAUGCCAGAAAUCUAUGGUAAAGAUUGAUUUUUUGACAUUAAGGGCUAGUUAUUUAACACGUUAUGCUCUUGUAGUGGCUGGAAAACAGCACUUAGGUGUUCAGGUAUGAUCUCAAAUUCUCACCCAAGGAUUCAAAAGUUUAAGGCGUUGUUAAGUGAAGAGUAGGGGGACAAAGCACACAGGUUAAUAAUACCUGGAAUGAAUGGGAGGUGAAACAAAUACCUGGACUUUGUUUUUUUUUUUUUUUUAAUGAGCCAAAUCCACUAUAUAGUGUACUGUUUAGAUGAUCCUUGUGCAUAGCUGGGAUAUGGCAGCCAGUACAUUCGUUAACCACCAUCCAAAAGGCUGGACAACCUGACCUUCAGGAAGAAGGCAGCUCCACAGAAUUAUUGCAGCACCUCACCUUCUCUCUCUCUGGCCAGGAUGUAGACGUGGGAUGGACUGAUCCUCAGCUUUGCCUUUGUUGCUUUUUGUUAUGUGAAUGAGCAUUUGCUUUGCACUUCCCUCUCUCACUGUGGCAGUGCAACAAGACAGAGCUGACACGCUGAUAAUCUUGAUCCAUACUAGCAACUGAAAUGCCUUUUGACAGGAGGGAUAGUCUUACUGCAAUUAGAGGCCUUAUAGACAUAAACAGGAACCAUGAAAACCAAAAAUGUCCCAGUAAACACAUUAAAAAACAAGUAUUUUGGGAGCCUGUAAGAAAAGGUGACAAGUCAAAUAUGUGUAGCUUACCACUUCUUGAAUUGGUAAACUCCAAGAACACACCAUCAACUUACACUAUUUGUGAUACGAUAUUUAGCACGGCUUCUGAUUAUGGACGUUUUAGUCAACUAGGUGUGGAUAUUACCGUCCCUCAGCUGUGGUGCGGGGCUCUGUGGUGCACUGUAAGAGGCUUGUUAGUGCGAAGUUUGGAAAAUCACAACCUCCAGAAGAAAUGCAAUCAUUUGUUACAUACAUCAGGCUGAAGCAGUUAACAUUUAUGGGGGAAUAUUUCAGGCGGAAAAAAUAUUUUUAAAAGUGUUAUCAAUAUUGUUUAUCAUAUACCUGAACCUUUAACUCCUCAGUCCAUAGGAACUGAGUAGCCUCAGAGAGAGAGAGACAGAAGUUAUA